AGGAAAUAAUCUUUAAAAAAUACAAACGGAUGACUUAACGUAAAUUUAUUAAGGAUAACAAGAUGCUGUCAGGGAGGUAUUCAGGUCAUUCAGGGAGGAGCAAAAGAGGGCAUUGAGGAAGUUGCUUUGGUGCGUCCGAGUGGACUCGAACCACCGACCCCCACCA
This 166-nucleotide antisense RNA is filed under the name Rahnella aquatilis CIP 78.65 = ATCC 33071. RNAcentral's name for it is "Bacterial antisense RNA HPnc0260". It matches the Rfam family "Bacterial antisense RNA HPnc0260". Lineage: Bacteria; Pseudomonadati; Pseudomonadota; Gammaproteobacteria; Enterobacterales; Yersiniaceae. The record is from Rfam by way of RNAcentral.